This 58-nucleotide transfer RNA is filed under the name Mus musculus (house mouse). It matches the Rfam family "tRNA", at positions 8 to 63 of the family's 71-position model. From Rfam's summary of the family: Transfer RNA (tRNA) molecules are approximately 80 nucleotides in length. Lineage: Eukaryota; Metazoa; Chordata; Mammalia; Rodentia; Muridae. The record is from Rfam by way of RNAcentral.
UGGCUCAGUUGGUAGAGUGUUUGCCUAACACGCAUGAGGCUCUGGGUUCAAACCCCAG